Molecule: ribosomal RNA, 241 nt
Filed under: uncultured Staphylococcus sp.
Lineage: Bacteria; Bacillati; Bacillota; Bacilli; Caryophanales; Staphylococcaceae
Description: partial 16S ribosomal RNA
Rfam family: Bacterial small subunit ribosomal RNA
Source: RNAcentral
CGGACGGGUGAGUAACACGUGGAUAACCUACCUAUAAGACUGGGAUAACUUCGGGAAACCGGAGCUAAUACCGGAUAAUAUAUUGAACCGCAUGGUUCAAUAGUGAAAGACGGUUUUGCUGUCACUUAUAGAUGGAUCCGCGCCGCAUUAGCUAGUUGGUAAGGUAACGGCUUACCAAGGCAACGAUGCGUAGCCGACCUGAGAGGGUGAUCGGCCACACUGGAACUGAGACACGGUUCAG